GAAUCUUGGUUCCUUCGGUUUUCAAUUGAUUUAGAAACACACGAAGACACCAAGAAAGGGAGAUGUAGGAGGUGUGUUAGUUUCAAUGGGGUUUAGGAGAAGAGACGUAGUAAUAGCCAAUUUGCAGCCACAGGUUUCAUUUUUUCAUGCAAAUUUGUUUACCAUUUGGUCCUCAAAUCCUUACAUUCAAAUGGCUAUUUGACUAAGGUAAUGACACAAGAGUAUAAGUCGGCGGACUUGACGAGAGAUUUUGGAUUAUAGAUCAGUAGUUGAAUAACUAUUGUAAGGUCUAUAUUAUGUUGUUUAUGCUUUUGGUCUGUAACGAACAUGACAUCCCGAUGUUUUAUUAUUUAAUAAAAAUACAUUCUUUUCGAGAAA
Molecule: long non-coding RNA, 378 nt
Organism: Lactuca sativa (garden lettuce)
Lineage: Eukaryota; Viridiplantae; Streptophyta; Magnoliopsida; Asterales; Asteraceae
Source: RefSeq, a predicted model, not a curated record